UUUGUACUCCCUCCGUUCCGAAUUAUUUGUCUUAGAUUUGUCUAGAUACGGAUGUAUCUAGCACUAAAAUGAGUCUAGAUACAUCCGUAUCUAGACAAAUCUAAGACAAAUAAUUCAGAACGGAGGGAGUAACAG
Molecule: non-coding RNA, 135 nt
Organism: Triticum urartu
Lineage: Eukaryota; Viridiplantae; Streptophyta; Magnoliopsida; Poales; Poaceae
Source: Rfam